Molecule: long non-coding RNA, 676 nt
Organism: Pogoniulus pusillus (Red-fronted tinkerbird)
Lineage: Eukaryota; Metazoa; Chordata; Aves; Piciformes; Lybiidae
Exons: 2
Source: RefSeq, a predicted model, not a curated record
GGCGCUCCGGAUGCUUGUCCUCUUGCUCUCUUUCAAAAGACAUUCGAGGCUCAUUGAAGCCUGUCAAGCCUGCACAAAGGGUGCUUAUGGUGGGAAGCAUCCAAAGCAGAGAGGGUCCAGUCCCUCAGGAGCUUGUCCUUCCCAGCGCCAGGGCACUCCUUCUGCAGGAACUAUCCAGGCGGGGAAGAACUUUGCGGCAGGCACCCCAAGGAGACCUGCCAGGCUACAUUGACAGCUCAGCUGAUGGAGCCCUUCCUCUAAUUUGCCACCGAGUCAGUGACCCAGCAAAGGGCAGUGAACCCUUGAGGGUGCUGAUGAUGAGCAGAACAGCCUCCAGCACACGGUUGCUGUGAUGGCACAGAGGGCGCUUAAUCCUUGGUGACUGCUCUGCGUUUCACCUUGAGGUCAAGACUGCUCUACCCAGCUCAUUUAUGCUUUUGCCUUCCAGUGAGGGCUGAGCGUUUUCCUAGCUCAAAACAAAUCCUGUUAACAAAACAGUGGUGGUGUUUUGCUGCAAGGAAAAACCCACUGCCUCAUGGCCCAUCCAAGGUUAAUCAACACUGGUGAAGCAGGAGCCCAACUAGGAAACACUCCUCUGGUCUACAAAGAAAGGCUACUCUUCCCUCUUCCUCCUUCAGGCUCCUGAUGCCUCCCAGGUGCCUCUGUUUGGGGCAGA